AUGAGCCGCCAAGUUCCACGAACCUCCAAGUUCGACUACAUUGUGAGACGAAGAACGCCAAGUACCUCUCCGAAAACGAACAUGCACCACUACGCCCGGAGGCCUCGGAUUCGUCAAGUCCAACAACGAUUGUUCUCAACUACCCAUGACCCCGAACGUCUACAAAAACGGGUACUACUACCGUCACCGAGAUCACGAGAACCUCUACCUACGAACCUGGAGCAAGUGAGAACCUCUACCGAUGAACUCCGAGCGCGUACGACGACCGUUGUCGAAAACCCGUGCACGACUACCGUCGACCGCGAAGGGCUUGGAGUCAUCAAGUACCUCUCCGAAAGAUCGUGA
This 345-nucleotide ribosomal RNA is filed under the name Triticum aestivum (bread wheat). Its description in RNAcentral is "partial small subunit ribosomal RNA". The record is from RNAcentral. Lineage: Eukaryota; Viridiplantae; Streptophyta; Magnoliopsida; Poales; Poaceae.